Molecule: ribosomal RNA, 273 nt
Filed under: uncultured Acidovorax sp.
Lineage: Bacteria; Pseudomonadati; Pseudomonadota; Betaproteobacteria; Burkholderiales; Comamonadaceae
Description: partial 16S ribosomal RNA
Rfam family: Bacterial small subunit ribosomal RNA
Source: RNAcentral
UACGUAGGGUGCGAGCGUUAAUCGGAAUUACUGGGCGUAAAGCGUGCGCAGGCGGUUGUGCAAGACAGGUGUGAAAUCCCCGGGCUCAACCUGGGAACUGCAUUUGUGACUGUAUAGCUAGAGUACGGCAGAGGGGGAUGGAAUUCCGCGUGUAGCAGUGAAAUGCGUAGAUAUGCGGAGGAACACCGAUGGCGAAGGCAAUCCCCUGGGCCUGUACUGACACUCAUGCACGAAAGCGUGGGGAGCAAACAGGAUUAGAUACCCCCGUAGUCC